Molecule: ribosomal RNA, 323 nt
Filed under: Allapsidae sp.
Lineage: Eukaryota; Cercozoa; Glissomonadida; Viridiraptoridae
Description: SSU rRNA
Rfam family: Eukaryotic small subunit ribosomal RNA (bases 107-323)
Source: RNAcentral
GAUUUCUGGCUUGGUGCGCCUGGUCCGCCAGCGUUAGCUGUGUGAGUACCGGGACGCGCCUGCCAUCCUUCCAGAGAACACCUCUACUCUUCAUUGAGCCGGAGGUGCCAUCUGGAUCUUUUACUUUGAAAAAAUUAGAGUGUUUCAAGCAGGCGUUUUGCUAUGAAUACAUUAGCAUGGAAUAAUGAGUUAGGACUUCGGUUCUAUUUUGUUGGUUUCUAGGACUGAAGUAAUGAUUGAUAGGGAUAGUUGGGGGUGCUAGUAUUCAGCGGCCAGAGGUGAAAUUCUUGGAUUCGCUGAAGACUAACUUAUGCGAAAGCAUU